AUUGAACGCUGGCGGCAUGCCUUACACAUGCAAGUCGAACGGCAGCAUGAUCUAGCUUGCUAGAUUGAUGGCGAGUGGCGCACGGGUGAGUAAUACAUCGGAACGUGCCCUGUAGUGGGGGAUAACUAGUCGAAAGAUUAGCUAAUACCGCAUACGACCUGAGGGUGAAAGUGGGGGACCGCAAGGCCUCAUGCUAUAGGAGCGGCCGAUGUCUGAUUAGCUAGUUGGUGAGGUAAAGGCUCACCAAGGCGACGAUCAGUAGCUGGUCUGAGAGGACGAUCAGCCACACUGGGAGUGAGACACGGCCCAGACUCCUACGGGGGGCAGCAGUGGGGAAUUUUGGACAAUGGGCGAAAGCCUGAUCCAGCAAUGCCGCGUGUGUGAAGAAGGCCUUCGGGUUGUAAAGCACUUUUGUCCGGAAAGAAAUGGCUCUGGUUAAUACCUGGGGUCGAUGACGGUACCGGAAGAAUAAGGACCGGCUAACUACGUG
Molecule: ribosomal RNA, 490 nt
Filed under: uncultured bacterium
Lineage: Bacteria
Description: partial 16S ribosomal RNA
Rfam family: Bacterial small subunit ribosomal RNA
Source: RNAcentral